RNAcentral lists this unclassified non-coding RNA (192 nucleotides) under uncultured fungus. RNAcentral's name for it is "sequence contains ITS1". The record is from RNAcentral. Lineage: Eukaryota; Fungi.
UUGAUUCAUUUAAUAAAUCACUCAGACUGCAAUGUUACGCAAGAGUUUGGUUUGGUCCACCGGGGGGGCUCCGGAGAGCCGCCCCCGAGGCAACGCGGUCGGACAACAGUGGGUUUCGUUGCAUCCUGCCACCGCCCCGGAGGGCGGGAGGAGUUACGAUUAAUGAUCCCUCCGCAGGUUCACCUACGGAGA